GCUCAGGAUGAACGCUGGCGGCGUGCUUAACACAUGCAAGUCGAACGGUGAAGCCAAGCUUGCUUGGUGGAUCAGUGGCGAACGGGUGAGUAACACGUGAGCAACCUGCCCUGAACUCUGGGAUAAGCGCUGGAAACGGCGUCUAAUACUGGAUAUGAGCUGCGGAGGCAUCUUCGUGGUUGGAAAGAUUUUUCGGUUUGGGAUGGGCUCGCGGCCUAUCAGCUUGUUGGUGAGGUAAUGGCUCACCAAGGCGUCGACGGGUAGCCGGCCUGAGAGGGUGACCGGCCACACUGGGACUGAGACACGGCCCAGACUCCUACGGGAGGCAGCAGUGGGGAAUAUUGCACAAUGGGCGGAAGCCUGAUGCAGCAACGCCGCGUGAGGGAUGACGGCCUUCGGGUUGUAAACCUCUUUUAGCAGGGAAGAAGCGAAAGUGACGGUACCUGCAGAAAAAGCGCCGGCUAACUACGUGCCAGCAGCCGCGGUAAUACGUAGGGCGCAAGCGUUAUCCGGAAUUAUUGGGCGUAAAGAGCUCGUAGGCGGUUUGUCGCGUCUGCUGUGAAAACCCGAGGCUCAACCUCGGGCCUGCAGUGGGUACGGGCAGACUAGAGUGCGGUAGGGGAGAUUGGAAUUCCUGGUGUAGCGGUGGAAUGCGCAGAUAUCAGGAGGAACACCGAUGGCGAAGGCAGAUCUCUGGGCCGUAACUGACGCUGAGGAGCGAAAGGGUGGGGAGCAAACAGGCUUAGAUACCCUGGUAGUCCACCCCGUAAACGUUGGGAACUAGUUGUGGGGUCCAUUCCACGGAUUCCGUGACGCAGCUAACGCAUUAAGUUCCCCGCCUGGGGAGUACGGCCGCAAGGCUAAAACUCAAAGGAAUUGACGGGGACCCGCACAAGCGGCGGAGCAUGCGGAUUAAUUCGAUGCAACGCGAAGAACCUUACCAAGGCUUGACAUACACGAGAACGCUGCAGAAAUGUAGAACUCUUUGGACACUCGUGAACAGGUGGUGCAUGGUUGUCGUCAGCUCGUGUCGUGAGAUGUUGGGUUAAGUCCCGCAACGAGCGCAACCCUCGUUCUAUGUUGCCAGCACGUAAUGGUGGGAACUCAUGGGAUACUGCCGGGGUCAACUCGGAGGAAGGUGGGGAUGACGUCAAAUCAUCAUGCCCCUUAUGUCUUGGGCUUCACGCAUGCUACAAUGGCCGGUACAAAGGGCUGCAAUACCGCGAGGUGGAGCGAAUCCCAAAAAGCCGGUCCCAGUUCGGAUUGAGGUCUGCAACUCGACCUCAUGAAGUUGGAGUCGCUAGUAAUCGCAGAUCAGCAACGCUGCGGUGAAUACGUUCCCGGGUCUUGUACACACCGCCCGUCAAGUCAUGAAAGUCGGUAACACCUGAAGCCGGUGGCCCAACCCU
This 1409-nucleotide ribosomal RNA is filed under the name Microbacterium sp. RNAcentral's name for it is "bacterial SSU rRNA". It matches the Rfam family "Bacterial small subunit ribosomal RNA". Lineage: Bacteria; Bacillati; Actinomycetota; Actinomycetes; Micrococcales; Microbacteriaceae. The record is from RNAcentral.